Rhinopithecus roxellana (golden snub-nosed monkey) is the source of this 2019-nucleotide long non-coding RNA. RefSeq lists it as uncharacterized. Lineage: Eukaryota; Metazoa; Chordata; Mammalia; Primates; Cercopithecidae. The record is from RefSeq and is a predicted model, not a curated record. The transcript is spliced from 2 exons.
GGAACCCGGUUUAGAGGGUCUGGGGUUCAGAGCUCCACAGUGCUGCUUACCAGCUCUUAGCCUUCAUUACAUUGCUUACCUUCCUGGAGGUUGUUUCCUUAUCCAUAAAAUGGGGGUCAGGUUGCCAAAUUUAUCAAAUAAGAAUCUAGGAUGUCCAGUUAAAGCUGAAUUUCAGAUAAUUAUUUUUUAGUAUAAAUAUGUCCCAUAAAAUAUUUAUGCCCCAUGCAGUGACUAUGUCCCUAAUGGUACAUGGGACAUAUACUAAAACAUUAUUUGUUGUUUAUCUGAAAUUCAAAUUUAACUGUGCGUCCUAUAUUUUUUCUGGCAACCCUAAAUGGGAGCAGGGGCAGUGGGUGACAUGAGUAAUUAUCUUGUAGGGGUGGUGUGAGGAUAAAAUAAUAUCACAGUUAGGUUUUCUCACAGUGUGUAGUCUGUGUGUAGUCAACACAUAACUAUAAGUGGUGACUGUAACAUAACUGUAACUGGUGUAUAGUCAAAAACAAAUGAUAUUAUUAGUAUAAUAGUUAUUAAUAAAGGUCUUUAAAUGACAACUGGUCAUACAGGGAGCCUUUGGGGAAAAGUUUCUGACUGUAAACUAAGGGAAGGUAAAUUAUGAUCAAGAUCUGGGAAUAAGAUUUAGACUUACACAGUAAUAAUUUGAGGAAGAGAAAGACUUAGUAAAUUAGUUAUGUAAUUACAUAAUUAACAACUUGGGAGGUUUUCUUUCAACGUUUAUUCCCUAGGGCAUCAUCUUUAAAUUAUGUUUAGUUUUUGCUAAGUUGACCAGUUUGUGGUUUUAGGUGUUUACUUUCUUUUCUUUUUAAAUGUAGGGAAAGCAUAUUUAACUUCAUCUUAGAGAAAUGAUGUAGCCUUAUAAAACCGGAGGGUAGGAGCUACUGGCAAGGAAAAAAAGGGCCUUUACUGCCACCUGUUGGCCAUAUCCUUUAACUGCAAUGUGCCUAAGUGCAGCUGGAAAGGAAAGCGUUGGAAAAUCUGUUAAAUCCAGAGAGCGCCAAGGCAGUGUCAUGAGAGUAAGAGCCGUGAACUACUGUGUGCUCUCCCUCAGUUCCCAAUCUCUCACAGCUUGAGGCGUGAGAAUUAGCAGCUGGCUACGAGAGGUGGAGGACAGAAAAUGGUGAAGUCCAUCCCUUCUUCCUUGGUACCGUUUCCAAACCUUAAGUGAAGGAGCCUGAGAGGGGAGAAGCUUCAGUAUGAAAGUUUUCAAGACGCCUACAAGUGGAAAAUGCACUCCUCCCAGCCAAAUCAAGCUUUGCCAGAUUCCUUACAGCUGUGUGCAGUGAAAUGACUAAUGAGAGAGCCCUCUGCUGCUGGUGGAACUUUCACAUAUGGCACUGUUGUGCCACUCAGCAGGACCUGACCCUGGUAUUUACAUACUGGAUGUCACCCCAAAAGCCCCUGACACGGGGGUUUCCGGGAUGUAAUAAGAAUGCCACUCUGGGCUUUGGAAGGUGCACUGUAUGCACACCCAUACUAUAGGGCAGGGAUUAGCAUUUCAGACCCCCGUUCCUCCCUCGACAAGCAAGUGCUUUUCUCCAGGGAGGACGUUCAGAUUCAUUCAUAGAUCCAUUGGUGCCGUGGGCAGCUCAGUAACAGUGGCUCUGCUGCCUACCAGCUGCUGGUGGAGGUGCUGAGAAUACCUAGAUGAGGAAGUCAGGGCCCCUGCGUGCUUGAGCAGAGCUGGAUGCCUGGCAUGGCAAUGGACACAAACCCUUGGAUCAUUUCCAUCCUUGGCAGUGUGUUCUGUAGCAUAGGUGUGAAGUGGGUGCUCUGCGAGCUCAGAAGAGGGGCUCUUAACUUAUGGGUGGCCAGGGAAGGCUUCCUGGAGCUCAAAUGACUGAGUGGAGUCUUCAACAUUACAAAAUAAAAAGUGCUUCUCCCCACCCCGUUAAAAAGGUAAUACACCUAAUUGAAAUGAUUGAACUUUACAGAAAUGUGUUCCUUUAAAGUUCGGAGAGUAAAGAGGAAGUAAUAAAGCUCAAAUCAUAGGAUGUCUAAUUA